UUUUUUUUUUUAAAACAUUGUUUGUCGGUCAAAGGCUCAAAGCCACAUGUUUAAGCUUUGAAUUUAUUUUUAGCACCCUCAUGUAAUUUUCCCCUAUAAAAGGGGCACCUAUUGUAAUUUUUUCGGUAUGAAAUAAAAUUCACAGUUUACUUCCCUCUUCUUCGUAAAAUCAAGUUUCAGCGAUUCCGUUCGCCCGAGUUGCCGAGAAUUUCUGGAGAAGUUUCCGCGAUCGAUCGUUCUUCCAGCAAGUGCUGAGUAUAGAGAAGAUCAUCGUCAAGGUUUCUCCAACAUCCGUCCUGUUUUCCUACUACAGAAUUGCCUCCGUCCGUGCUCUGUUCGUGUUCAAAGGAUUGCUUGUCAAAUUGACUCGGCUACCGUCUCGAAUCCUUUCUGAUCUCUCCGAUCAUUUAGGUCGGAGACGUCUCGAAAACAACAGGUCUUGUUGAUAUCCCUUACAUCUCGUCUCUAAGAAAUCUCGAUCGAAUUUUACUCCGAUCUUGAGAUCGGAGACUAAAAUUGUUUUACAGGUCCAGUUAAUUGCAAAAUUUCUUUGUUUGUUGUUCUUAGAAUUUAAAUUGUUCUCCGAUCGUGAGAUCGGAAUUACAGUUUUGGUUCAAGACCUUAAUUGUUGAAUUUUGUUAUACGAAUUCUUCCGAUAGAAUUUUAGUUCUAUCAAUUUGUAGGGACAAGGUACAAACGGAAAUGAGAGAAAUGACCAGAGUCUAUUUAUCGAACGUACUCUUCGAGCAUGUACCGAACAUCCUCGUCGGAUUUAACAGAGACAAGAAUAUCGAGAUCCUCUUCAGGCGAUAAUUGAUAUUUGAUCUCGAACGGAUGUUUAUUGUAUGCUCCCUUAAAUUUCUCCAUGAUUUUUGUAUUGAUUUUUUUUUUAAUAAUCGAUGAAUCAAAAGGUUGAUUUAAUUAAAAGAUUUGUCAAUAAUCAAUCACCUGAGAAGCAGACAGAACGAGGGAAAGAGAAGACCCUCGUUUCACCGCCGGAGUACUUUAGUUUUGCUUCAGAUGAGUGUUUUUUUAUUUUACUGCCGUAUCUGCAAUUACACUUGACAUUAUUUUUCUCAGACAUAGUUCGAGUUGAUGUUGAAUUUCUUCUUCUUUCUGAAAUCGUUUUCUUAAUUCUUCUGUAUUUUUCAUAUUAAAUAAAUCAAUAAAUAGUUGGAAGGAAUGAAUUAUUACCACAAAUCUAAAAAUAGUUAGAAAUAAUUAUAAUAAAAAUUAACCUUUGAUUUUGUCAGUUAAUGGACGGUUAGUUAUUCACAAUUUUUUUAAUGUUAUUAGUUUUAACCGUUUCAACUUUGAAGGACUAUUAUGUAAAGAAGGACAGUUUGUUGUCUUCAAUAUGCAAUUUAUUCCAAAAAAAAUGAUAUAAAAAUAAGGUUUUGAAUUAAGCAAGUUGGAGAAAUUGUUUGUUUAUUCUUGAAUCUCAAUC
This 1447-nucleotide long non-coding RNA is filed under the name Zostera marina. RNAcentral's name for it is "long non-coding RNA (ZMAR_LNC003036)". Lineage: Eukaryota; Viridiplantae; Streptophyta; Magnoliopsida; Alismatales; Zosteraceae. The record is from RNAcentral.